RNAcentral lists this unclassified non-coding RNA (354 nucleotides) under soil metagenome. RNAcentral describes it as "partial contains 5.8S ribosomal RNA, internal transcribed spacer 2, and large subunit ribosomal RNA". The stretch from base 1 to 120 matches the Rfam family "5.8S ribosomal RNA", at positions 35 to 154 of the family's 154-position model. The record is from RNAcentral.
GAUGAAGAACGCAGCGAAAUGCGAUAAGUAAUGUGAAUUGCAGAAUUCAGUGAAUCAUCGAAUCUUUGAACGCACAUUGCGCCCGCCAGUAUUCUGGCGGGCAUGCCUGUUCGAGCGUCAUUACAACCCUCAGGCCCCCGGGCCUGGCGUUGGGGAUCGGCGGAGCCCCCCGUGGGCACACGCCGUCCCCCAAAUACAGUGGCGGUCCCGCCGCAGCUUCCAUCGCGUAGUAGCUAACACCUCGCGACUGGAGAGCGGCGCGGCCACGCCGUAAAACACCCCAAACUUCUGAAAUGUUGACCUCGGAUCAGGUAGGAAUACCCGCUGAACUUAAGCAUAUCAAUAAGCGGAGGA